AGUAAUCGAAGCAGUGAACUUAAGCCCCAGUAAACGGCGGCCGUAACUAUAACGGUCCUAAGGUAGCGAAAUUCCUUGUCGGGUAAGUUCCGACCCGCACGAAAGGCGUAACGAUUUGGGCACUGUCCCAACAACAGACUCGGUGAAAUUGUAAUUCCGGUGAAGAUGCCGGAUACCUGCGACAGGACGGAAAGACCCCAUGGAGCUUUACUGUAGCUUGACAUUGGGUCUUGGUACUACAUGUACAGGAUAGGUGGGAGGCUUUGAAACCAGGACGCCAGUUUUGGCGGAGCCAUCCUUGGGAUACCACCCUUGUAGUACUGGGACUCUAACCAUAGGCCAUGAAUCUGGUCUUGGGACACUGUCAGGUGGGCAGUUUGACUGGGGCGGUCGCCUCCCAAAAGGUAACGGAGGCGCUCAAAGGUUCUCUCAGUACGGUCGGAAAUCGUACGUAGAGUGUAAAGGCAAAAGAGAGCUUGAUUGCAAGACAUACAGGUCGAGCAAGGAUGAAAAUCGGACUUAGUGAUCCGGUGGUUC
RNAcentral lists this ribosomal RNA (537 nucleotides) under Clostridioides difficile. RNAcentral describes it as "bacterial LSU rRNA". It matches the Rfam family "Bacterial large subunit ribosomal RNA", at positions 1894 to 2429 of the family's 2925-position model. The record is from RNAcentral. Lineage: Bacteria; Bacillati; Bacillota; Clostridia; Peptostreptococcales; Peptostreptococcaceae.